Molecule: long non-coding RNA, 673 nt
Filed under: Phasianus colchicus (ring-necked pheasant)
Lineage: Eukaryota; Metazoa; Chordata; Aves; Galliformes; Phasianidae
Description: lncRNA (ENSPCLG00000016615.1)
Source: RNAcentral
GGUUUCCCCCUCCCCGCCCCCCCCAAUGGUAACACAGUGUCACAGCCCCCCCCCACCGUGGGGGUGGUCGCCUACAGCCGCCACCGCGACCCCGAGGAGGAGGAGGAGGAAGAAGAAGAGGAGGAAGGGCAGGGUGGGGAGGUCAGGGGGGGGCCCACUAUUCUGCUGCCCCCACCACCCUCCAGGCCCCGCCCACGCCGUAAGCCCCGCCCCCGGUCCCGCCCCUGGCUCCACCCACUCGUCACGUUGGCGCUUGGCUCCGCCUCCGCCUUCCUGGUCGGGCUGCUGGUGGCUGGGAUUGGACGAACCCCGUGUGGGGGCGGGGCGUGGGCGGGGCCUGAGGCCCUUGACCCCACCCUGGAGGAAUUUGGGGGCGGGGCCACCCCCGAAGCUCCGCCCACUUGGCCUCAGCUGCGGGAAGAGGUGCAGCGCCGCCUGCGGGGGGAGCGCAUCGAGGCAUGGGUCAGGGAGGUGGCGAUGGGGCCGCACCCCCCCGGUUCUGGGAGGGGUCGGGCUUUGGCUCAGGCUGUGCUGAGCGCUAUGGUGGGGGCGGGGCUGCACCGGGCAUGGAACCACCCCCAGCGUGUGCCCCUCCCCACCAGGUAUGGGGGGGGUCGGAGGGGGGGGUCUUGGGAGGGUUCCUGGGGGGUGUGGGGGGGUGAAUAUGAGGGCC